AUCCCGCCCGGACCUGACUGCUAUCGGAUUGAUACUAAGCCAUGCGAGUCAUUGUAGCAAUACAAGGCAGACGGCUCAGUAACGCGUAGUCAACCUAACCUAUGGACGGGAAUAACCUCGGGAAACUGAGAAUAAUGCCCGAUAGAACACUAUACCUGGAAUGGUUUGUGUUCCAAAUGAUUUAUCGCCGUAGGAUGGGACUGCGGCCUAUCAGUUUGUUGGUGAGGUAAUGGCCCACCAAGACUAUUACAGGUACGGGCUCUGAGAGGAGUAGCCCGGAGAUGGGUACUGAGACACGGACCCAGGCCCUAUGGGGCGCAGCAGGCGAGAAAACUUUGCAAUGUGCGAAAGCACGACAAGGUUAAUCCGAGUGGUUUGUGCUAAACGAACCUUUUGUCGGUCCUAGAAACACCGAUGAAUAAGGGGUGGGCAAGUUCUGGUGUCAGCCGCCGCGGUAAAACCAGCACCUCAAGUGGUCAGGAUGAUUAUUGGGCCUAAAGCAUCCGUAGCCGGCUCUGUAAGUUUUCGGUUAAAUCUGUAUGCUCAACAUACAGGCUGCCGGGAAUACUGCAGAGCUAGGGAGUGGGAGAGGUAGACGGUACUCGGUAGGAAGGGGUAAAAUCCUUUGAUCUAUUGAUGACCACCUGUGGCGAAGGCGGUCUACCAGAACACGUCCGACGGUGAGGGAUGAAAGCUGGGGGAGCAAACCGGAUUAGAUACCCGGGUAGUCCCAGCUGUAAACUAUGCAAACUCAGUGAUGCAUUGGCUUGUGGCCAAUGCAGUGCUGCAGGGAAGCCGUUAAGUUUGCCGCCUGGGAAGUACGUACGCAAGUAUGAAACUUAAAGGAAUUGGCGGGGGAGCACCACAAGGGGUGAAGCCUGCGGUUCAAUUGGAGUCAACGCCGGAAAGGG
Molecule: ribosomal RNA, 911 nt
Filed under: uncultured archaeon
Lineage: Archaea
Description: bacterial SSU rRNA
Rfam family: Archaeal small subunit ribosomal RNA
Source: RNAcentral